This 399-nucleotide ribosomal RNA is filed under the name Burkholderia cenocepacia. Its description in RNAcentral is "bacterial LSU rRNA". It matches the Rfam family "Bacterial large subunit ribosomal RNA", at positions 1 to 430 of the family's 2925-position model. The record is from RNAcentral. Lineage: Bacteria; Pseudomonadati; Pseudomonadota; Betaproteobacteria; Burkholderiales; Burkholderiaceae.
GUUAUAGGGUCAAGCGAACAAGUGCAUGUGGUGGAUGCCUUGGCGAUCACAGGCGAUGAAGGACGCGGUAGCCUGCGAAAAAGCUACGGGGAGCUGGCAAACAAGCUUUGAUCCGUAGAUGUCCGAAUGGGGAAACCCACUCCUUUUGGAGUAUCCAUGGCUGAAUACAUAGGCCAUGCGAAGCGAACGCGGUGAACUGAAACAUCUAAGUAACCGCAGGAAAAGAAAUCAACCGAGAUUCCCAAAGUAGUGGCGAGCGAAAUGGGAUGAGCCUUGCACUCUUUAUUUGUAUUGUUAGCCGAACGCUCUGGAAAGUGCGGCCAUAAGCAGGUGAUAGCCCUGUAGGCGAAAACAGUAUGAAAGAACUAGGUGUGCGACAAGUAGGGCGGGACACGUGAA